Molecule: ribosomal RNA, 582 nt
Filed under: Curvularia affinis
Lineage: Eukaryota; Fungi; Ascomycota; Dothideomycetes; Pleosporales; Pleosporaceae
Description: eukaryotic LSU rRNA
Rfam family: 5.8S ribosomal RNA (bases 205-358)
Source: RNAcentral
CUCAGGGUACAUGCGGAGGGAUCAUUACACAAUAAACAUAUGAAAGCUGCACCGCCAGUUGGCGGCAAGGCUGGAGUACUUAUUACCCUUGUCUUUUGCGCACUUGUUGUUUCCUGGGCGGGUUCGCCCGCCACCAGGACCACAUGAUAAACCUUUUUUAUGCAGUUGCAAUCAGCGUCAGUACAACAAAUGUAAAUCAUUUACAACUUUCAACAACGGAUCUCUUGGUUCUGGCAUCGAUGAAGAACGCAGCGAAAUGCGAUACGUAGUGUGAAUUGCAGAAUUCAGUGAAUCAUCGAAUCUUUGAACGCACAUUGCGCCCUUUGGUAUUCCAAAGGGCAUGCCUGUUCGAGCGUCAUUUGUACCCUCAAGCUUUGCUUGGUGUUGGGCGUUUUGUCUUUGGUUGCCAAAGACUCGCCUUAAAACGAUUGGCAGCCGGCCUACUGGUUUCGCAGCGCAGCACAUUUUUGCGCUUGCAAUCAGCAAAAGAGGACGGCACUCCAUCAAGACUCUUUAUCACUUUUGACCUCGGAUCAGGUAGGGAUACCCGCUGAACUUAAGCAUAUCAAUAAAGCGGAAGUU